RNAcentral lists this ribosomal RNA (253 nucleotides) under uncultured bacterium. Its description in RNAcentral is "partial 16S ribosomal RNA". It matches the Rfam family "Bacterial small subunit ribosomal RNA", at positions 524 to 776 of the family's 1533-position model. The record is from RNAcentral.
UACGGAGGGUGCAAGCGUUGCUCGGAAUUAUUGGGCGUAAAGGGUAGGUAGGUGGUCUUAUUUGUCUGGGGUGAAAGCCUUGAGCUUAACUCAAGAAGUGCCCCAGAAACGGUAAGACUAGAGUCCUGGAGAGGGUCGUGGAAUUCCCGGUGUAGCGGUGAAAUGCGUAGAGAUCGGGAGGAACACCAGAGGCGAAGGCGGCGACCUGGACAGGUACUGACACUCAACUACGAAAGCGUGGGUAGCAAACAGG